This is a long non-coding RNA of Coregonus clupeaformis (lake whitefish), 309 nucleotides long. RefSeq lists it as uncharacterized. The record is from RefSeq and is a predicted model, not a curated record. The transcript is spliced from 3 exons. Lineage: Eukaryota; Metazoa; Chordata; Actinopteri; Salmoniformes; Salmonidae.
CUCCUCUCUCUCUACCAUGUUAACCAAACAUCUUGCACAAGUUUUGGACACAUUAAACAUGAAGGCUCUUCUAAUAUGGGCUGUUUUGCUGAACUUUUACAAACUCCUUAAGACAGGUGACUGCACUUCAAAACAUGACCAAGUACUCUCAAUCCAAGUCACAACACACCAACAGGCAGAUAUUGUGAGAAACAUAUCCAGCCAAUAUGAGACAGUUUUGUGGUCACCUGCUUCACCUGAGCACAUUGGAGCAGACACUGAGGUGCACCUGUUUGUUCCUGCCAACAACUUGGGGACUGUCACAGACCU